RNAcentral lists this ribosomal RNA (820 nucleotides) under uncultured bacterium. Its description in RNAcentral is "bacterial SSU rRNA". It matches the Rfam family "Bacterial small subunit ribosomal RNA", at positions 8 to 815 of the family's 1533-position model. The record is from RNAcentral.
AGAGUUUGAUCCUGGCUCAGGAUGAACGCUAGCUACAGGCUUAACACAUGCAAGUCGAGGGGCAGCAUGGUCUUAGCUUGCUAAGGCUGAUGGCGACCGGCGCACGGGUGAGUAACACGUAUCCAACCUGCCGUCUACUCUUGGCCAGCCUUCUGAAAGGAAGAUUAAUCCAGGAUGGCAUCAUGAGUUCACAUGUCCGCAUGAUUAAAGGUAUUUUCCGGUAGACGAUGGGGAUGCGUUCCAUUAGAUAGUAGGCGGGGUAACGGCCCACCUAGUCAACGAUGGAUAGGGGUUCUGAGAGGAAGGUCCCCCACAUUGGAACUGAGACACGGUCCAAACUCCUACGGGAGGCAGCAGUGAGGAAUAUUGGUCAAUGGGCGAUGGCCUGAACCAGCCAAGUAGCGUGAAGGAUGACUGCCCUAUGGGUUGUAAACUUCUUUUAUAAAGGAAUAAAGUCGGGUAUGCAUACCCGUUUGCAUGUACUUUAUGAAUAAGGAUCGGCUAACUCCGUGCCAGCAGCCGCGGUAAUACGGAGGAUCCGAGCGUUAUCCGGAUUUAUUGGGUUUAAAGGGAGCGUAGAUGGAUGUUUAAGUCAGUUGUGAAAGUUUGCGGCUCAACCGUAAAAUUGCAGUUGAUACUGGAUGUCUUGAGUGCAGUUGAGGCAGGCGGAAUUCGUGGUGUAGCGGUGAAAUGCUUAGAUAUCACGAAGAACUCCGAUUGCGAAGGCAGCCUGCUAAGCUGCAACUGACAUUGAGGCUCGAAAGUGUGGGUAUCAAACAGGAUUAGAUACCCUGGUAGUCCACACGGUAAACGAUGAAUA